This is a transfer RNA of Exophiala xenobiotica, 79 nucleotides long. It matches the Rfam family "tRNA". From Rfam's summary of the family: Transfer RNA (tRNA) molecules are approximately 80 nucleotides in length. Their secondary structure includes four short double-helical elements and three loops (D, anti-codon, and T loops). NCBI's taxonomy places the organism in Eukaryota, Fungi, Ascomycota, Eurotiomycetes, Chaetothyriales, Herpotrichiellaceae. The record is from Rfam.
GGUGGCGUGGCCUAAUGGUAAGGCGUUGCUUUCCGGUUUUGCCUGGCAAAGACUGUGGGUUCGAGUCCCAUCGCCAUCG